This 273-nucleotide ribosomal RNA is filed under the name uncultured bacterium. Its description in RNAcentral is "partial 16S ribosomal RNA". It matches the Rfam family "Bacterial small subunit ribosomal RNA", at positions 524 to 796 of the family's 1533-position model. The record is from RNAcentral.
UACGGAGGGAGCUAGCGUUGUUCGGAAUUACUGGGCGUAAAGCGCGCGUAGGCGGCUAUUCAAGUCAGAGGUGAAAGCCCGGGGCUCAACCCCGGAAUAGCCUUUGAAACUAGAUAGCUAGAAUCUGGGAGAGGUGAGUGGAAUUCCGAGUGUAGAGGUGAAAUUCGUAGAUAUUCGGAAGAACACCAGUGGCGAAGGCGGCUCACUGGACCAGAAUUGACGCUGAGGUGCGAAAGCGUGGGGAGCAAACAGGAUUAGAAACCCCCGUAGUCC